UUGAGCUCCUAUGCUUUUAAAAGUAAGUUAUUGGUGUUUGUAAAUUUUUAGCCAUUAGAUUAAGAGAUAUGCGGUUAGGAUGAUGUGGACCCCUUAGGGUUGAGUGGGUGGUUGGUUGAAUAGUAUAAUCUAAUAAUUAAAAAUGAUCCGAUGAGUAAAUCUAACGGUAAAAAACUUACAAGCACCAUAGCUGGACUAUAUAUAUAUAUAUAGAACUAGGCUGAAAUACUAUCAAUAAUACAAAACUAUUAGUGCCAUUGAUUUUUUAGCCUUUGGAUUGAUAAAUGGGUGGUUAGAAUGAUGUGGGCCCUUUAGGGUUAAGUGAGUGGUUGGUUGAAUAGUAUAAUCUAACGGGUAAAAAUAAUCAAAGGGUUGAAUCUAACGGUGGAAAACUCGAUAGCACCAAAUCCUUGGUGCUAUCGAUUGUACCCCAGCUGGACUCAUAUAUAUAUAUGCUUAUUAUUUUUCUUCUAAAAUAUUAUUAUAUCAUCGUGUAUUUUAUUUUUACUUCAAAAUAAAUUUUGAUUAGUUGUAAAGAAGGUGAAGAAUAGGAUUUUUUUGCGAAUAGCCCCCUGAGCAAUUUUAUUUAAAAAAUAGCUCUAUCAAAAUUAAAAUUGCAAAAAUGGCCCUGUCCUUGCCACGCAGGCGUCACGUCAGCGCCACGCGGGAGUUGAACACGGUGAAUCAUUCACCGUGUCUAAACACGGUGAAUGGUUCACCGUGUUUAGUACGUAUUUUUUGUAUAUUGAAAAGUGGAAUAAGGAGUAGGGACGUCAAUAGGUAUGGAUAUCUGAAAUAUUAUCCGAAUCCAAAUCCGAAUAAAUUAUAUAUAUAUAUAUAUAUAUAUA
This 848-nucleotide long non-coding RNA is filed under the name Ananas comosus (pineapple). RNAcentral's name for it is "long non-coding RNA (ACOM_LNC030389)". Lineage: Eukaryota; Viridiplantae; Streptophyta; Magnoliopsida; Poales; Bromeliaceae. The record is from RNAcentral.